AGAGUUUGAUCCUGGCUCAGGAUGAACGCUGGCGGCGUGCUUAACACAUGCAAGUCGAACGAACCUUCGGGUUAGUGGCGGACGGGUGAGUAACGCGUGGGAAUCUACCCUCAGGAGGGGGAUAACGGCUGGAAACGGCCGCUAAUACCCCAUAUGCCGAGAGGUGAAAUGAAUUUCGCCUGAGGAUGAGCCCGCGUCUGAUUAGCUUGUUGGUGAGGUAAUGGCUCACCAAGGCCACGAUCAGUAGCUGGUCUGAGAGGAUGAUCAGCCACACUGGGACUGAGACACGGCCCAGACUCCUACGGGAGGCAGCAGUGGGGAAUUUUCCGCAAUGGGCGAAAGCCUGACGGAGCAACGCCGCGUGAGGGAUGAAGGCCUCUGGGCUGUAAACCUCUUUUCUCAAGGAAGAAGAUCUGACGGUACUUGAGGAAUAAGCCACGGCUAAUUCCGUGCCAGCAGCCGCGGUAAUACGGGAGUGGCAAGCGUUAUCCGGAAUUAUUGGGCGUAAAGCGUCCGCAGGCGGCCUUUCAAGUCUGCUGUUAAAACGUGGAGCUUAACUCCAUCAAGGCAGUGGAAACUGUUGGGCUUGAGUGUGGUAGGGGCAGAGGGAAUUCCCGGUGUAGCGGUGAAAUGCGUAGAUAUCGGGAAGAACACCAGUGGCGAAGGCGCUCUGCUGGGCCAUAACUGACGCUCAUGGACGAAAGCCAGGGGAGCGAAAGGGAUUAGAUACCCCUGUAGUCCUGGCCGUAAACGAUGAACACUAGGUGUCGGGGGAAUCGACCCCCUCGGUGUCGUAGCCAACGCGUUAAGUGUUCCGCCUGGGGAGUACGCACGCAAGUGUGAAACUCAAAGGAAUUGACGGGGGCCCGCACAAGCGGUGGAGUAUGUGGUUUAAUUCGAUGCAACGCGAAGAACCUUACCAGGGUUUGACAUCCUGCGAACCUCUAAGAAAUUGGAGGGUGCCUUCGGGAACGCAGUGACAGGUGGUGCAUGGCUGUCGUCAGCUCGUGUCGUGAGAUGUUGGGUUAAGUCCCGCAACGAGCGCAACCCACGUUUUUAGUUGCCAGCAUUUAGUUGGGCACUCUAGAGAGACCGCCGGUGAUAAACCGGAGGAAGGUGUGGAUGACGUCAAGUCAUCAUGCCCCUUACAUCCUGGGCUACACACGUACUACAAUGCUACGGACAAAGGGCAGCAAACUCGCGAGGGCAAGCAAAUCCCAUAAACCGUGGCUCAGUUCAGAUCGUAGGCUGCAACUCGCCUACGUGAAGGAGGAAUCGCUAGUAAUCGCAGGUCAGCAUACUGCGGUGAAUACGUUCCCGGGCCUUGUACACACCGCCCGUCACACCAUGGAAGUUGGCCACGCCCGAAGUCGUUACUCCAACCCUUGUGGAGGAGGACGCCGAAGGUGGGGCUGAUGACUGGGGUGAAGUCGUAACAAGGUAGCCGUACCGGAAGGUGCGGCUG
Molecule: ribosomal RNA, 1465 nt
Filed under: Prochlorococcus sp. AG-409-B13
Lineage: Bacteria; Bacillati; Cyanobacteriota; Cyanophyceae; Synechococcales; Prochlorococcaceae
Description: bacterial SSU rRNA
Rfam family: Bacterial small subunit ribosomal RNA
Source: RNAcentral